UACGGAGGGGUGCAAGCGUUGUCCGGAUUUAUUGGGCGUAAAGAGCGUGUAGGCGGUUUGGUAGGUCCGCUGUGAAAACUCGAGCUCAACCUCGAGACGCCGGUGGAAACCAUCAGACUAGAGUCCGGAAGAGGAGAGUGGAAUUCCUGGUGUAGCGGUGAAAUGCGCAGAUAUCAGGAAGAACACCCGUGGCUAAGGCGGCUCUCUAGUACGGUACUGACGCUGAGACGCGAAAAGCGUGGGGAGCGAACAGG
This 254-nucleotide ribosomal RNA is filed under the name uncultured bacterium. Its description in RNAcentral is "partial 16S ribosomal RNA". It matches the Rfam family "Bacterial small subunit ribosomal RNA", at positions 524 to 776 of the family's 1533-position model. The record is from RNAcentral.